CCCGGUGUCACUUUCUAUGAGAAGUCCCACUCCUCUUUUUUUCACGGUUUACAUUUUCUGGUGUCAAGUUUAUGGCCUUUACCCAUUUGCUUCAAACCCAUUCACAGUGUAACUGUUGACAUCUGAAUUGAUUUCCAAGACAGAGCUGCAAGUGGUCUUGUAAACAGUUGUCAACAACAGUUGUAAUUAAGGAGUAGAGAGUGCAAACACAGACCACAAUAGCAGCCUGUAGGAGUUACACUGCUGUAUCGCUGUAGUGUGGAGAAGCCCUUAGGGCCCUAUCGGCACUUACAAGGGCUUGCUGAUGGUUAUCCCCCCCUCCUUCCCUCUUCUGAAAGGGACAGAUAAAAAAAACUAACAAAGCUUUUCCUUAGGGAAAGGCAAAGAGCUGAUAGUGUGAGAGAUGCUGCCACGCACCUCUUCGACAGUGCUCUGUGGGCUCCUCCACAACGGGAAAUGGGACAGAAGUGACACCUCCCCUCUGCAAAAGAACUCUCAGCACAAGGACAUCUAUGUGGGUUCUGAGCAUCGAUCACCUUGCUGGGCUGGGAGGUGGAACAAGCCAAAGGGAGGGAGCACAUGGAUGGAGAUUGCCCGGGAUGGAUGGAGGUGGUUACAGCAGAGUGCAAUACCUGGAACUGGCUGCAGGCAGCUGAUUUCACAUUAAAAUUUGCCUGCAGUAAGACUGAUGUAGAUCUCCAAGAGCUACUGAGCCUCUGCCAGCUGCUAAGGAGAGCCCACGCCUUGCUUAGCACUGAUCUCUUCACCUGCGCAGUCUCUCUCCUGUCUCCCAGAACAGGCAGCUCUCUUCCAUUUCCAAGGAAGUUCUCAAGCAGCUAUGAUCUUCUGUGUUCUAGUUCUGUGCUCAGAUCCUACACACUGUUUUUUUUGCUAAGAGUGGACUCACGGGGCCUUGUCUACAAACAAAUACUUCCAGUGUGGCUGGGAGUGCAGCCAAAGUGCUGUGGGAAAGCAAAGGAGUUUGAACAACAUGCUUUUGGGAUAAAAAAUGUUCCUUUGGACUCUUCUGACUUAACUUUUGAGCUACUCAAAGAAAACAGCUCUAAGAAGGUUUCUGUCCAGUGUUUAGAGCCCUUGCUAAAUCAGCCAAACACUUUCUUCAAGGGACUGGAGGGAUUAUAUAGUGCCUCUCUAUGAGGUCCAGAACCACAGAACACAGUGCUGUUUUGGCUAAUGGACUCCCAGUACUCCCCCCAUCACUAGAGUAUUCUCUGCUUUGUAUUUUGUGUUUCCACCUGAGACUGGGGUGAAAUUUCUACUUUUGCUCUCCUAAGUUGUGCUGGGAUUGUACUGCCCCGUGGUGCUGCUGUGUUCUGCAUCUCCUUGGUAGGUGCCAUCACUGAUAUCCUUGUCAGCCAUCUGUGUGUACUGACUGCUACACUUCCUAAAAUGCUGUUGACUUUGCUGAUGGUUCAAAGUGUGGGGAAUUUUGAUGGGCUUCAGAGUUGGAUGCUUAUCAAAGCCUGCCUGCUCUCCUACAGCACAAGAAGCCCUGCAAGUGGUAAGCUGUGUGUCAGCACUCCCAAUCCUUCCUUGCUCUGUUAAUCUAGCAAGGUUGUUUUUCUUGAACUUGGCUUGUUUGUCGGUGGAGCAUCAUGCAGUGCCUGGAGCCAGGAAGAAACUCUUGGAACUCAGUAGCUGCAUGCUGCUGCUUCAGGAAGCUCAAUUUACUUGGGAGGAGUUAUUCUGAAGUAAUAUUUCCUUUCCUGUUUACUUUUCCUGACAGAUCUGCUCCUCCUGUGCCCUGCUACAUUAAACCAUUUAUGUAGAAAGUAAGCAGUCUGGGUUUGUCCUUAGGACUUCACUGGAACCAGUUGCUUAUUCCUGUCAUAAUUCUGCCAGCAAUUGCUUCAACAAAAGCACAACAUGCUACCCACUGCAGUUGCUACAUUUUACUGCGGAGCUGUAAGUGAAAUCACAUCCUCAUUUUAAGUUAAUGGUCUGAUACAUGAAUGCUGAAAGCUCUCUGAGUGUCAUCCUGUGAUGUGCUGCAGCACCCUGAGGGAGGAGUGAGUCUGGAGACCACCUCCUUCACAGAAGUGAGCCCCUGAUGCUGCAGUGAGGUCUGUAUCUACAAAAGCUGUUGGUGUGGUGCUGUCUCUGACAAAACAACAAGCCAUGCCCAGCUGGAGGAGAGAAGCACAUCUUUGAACCAACCUUCUCUUUCUUUCUCUCAGCUCAGACUUCCAUGGGCUGCAAAGAGAAGCAUUUCUUCCUCACUUCACCAGUGCUGUUUGAAACAUCCUCUAAAUGCUAAUUUCAUUUCACUUCCACAACAAUAGAAAUAAAUACGGCACAAAUCUUGCUUCUUUGCAGUGCUUUUUUCUUGACUGCUGUAUCCAAAUGUCUCUUCAAUCUAGUAUCUCUUAAUAGUUCAGUAAAGAAUUACUCAUGGGACUAUCCUUUUUUUUUUGCCUUGAAGGCAGUCCCUAUUACUCCACAGUAUGGAAACCAAGUGGGAAAGUAAUCUAUGCAAAUUAAAUGUACUUUUCGGGUUGAAUCGCAUUCCCUUCGCUCAUGGUAAUGAGUCACUUGGCAUGAAGUGGACUUACAGUGAAUGGAGAGAGCAUAUCAGGGCGCUGCUUCUCAAGAAUUACUUCUACUUGCUGAAUCUCAUUUAGGCCUGGAACCAUGAGGGGUGAGGCUCUGCUGUCAGCCUCUCUGCUUCAGUGACUGCACUUAAUCACAUUUUCACUGGUAUAAUGGGAGAAAUGGCCCCAGCCUCCCGUUAACCUUGGAUGCGGAGGAUGAUGGUCCUCAGGCAGUCAUCAUAGCUGCCUCAUGCAGUUCACAAAUACUGCCCACAUGUUCUUUUUCCUCUAGUGAUAGUGAGACAAAACCAAGACCUGAUCUGAGUCAAGAGGAAGGCAGCAAUAAGCCCCAUCCCAAGUGCAGUGUCUGAAAAAUGACUGCUCAAAUUGCAUUCUGCCUGGGCUAAUUUCUGCAGUCAGCUGCCAUCUGAAAACUGGUCCUUUUUGUAUCUCAGCACUGAAACAGAGCAAUGUAAAUCGAAUUACCGCUCUGGAAAAUCUUAUUUUCAUGUGGUUGGUGUUUUUGUUUGUUUGGGUUUUUUUUAUAUUUUUCCCUUACAAAGUAAUUAACUCAAUGACCAGAUGAUGAGAUCUGGUUCCUAGACCACAAGCGCUGCUAUCAGAAAAGCUGGAAUUUCCUGCUCACAGCUUUCUGAGAGCUACAGCAAAAGAAACUCCUGUCGGCACAAUGUUAUGUUUCCCCCAACCUUACAUAGGCUUACAUAACUUUUUUUUUCUCUAGAAUACCUAAUUCUUAUUUACUGUAAUGGAAACAGACAACUGAUGCUGAAGUACUAUGACACCACUGAUUGAUAGUAGAAUGACAUGUUACAAUGUCACUUUCUUAUGAGAAUAACUAUUCUGUAUUACAAGAGUAGUGAAUUGAAACAUAUCCUUUUGAAAGAUGCCUACUCUCAUUUUUAAAGCUCCAAGUGAUGCUGAGGCCCCUGUCUUGUCAAGUAAGGUUUAAUUGCCCUUUCUGCUAGGAUAGGGCAUUUCAUUUCAAGAUGGUUGUGGUGCUGGAUUUGUGUUUUUUUUGUUGUUGGUUUUUUGUGUUUUUUUUUUUAAUUUAGUGUUAUUGAGUUGCUCUGUGACCUUGGAUGAGAAGGGAUGGAACAGUUGUUUAAGGCUAAAUUGAUCUUGGAAUUUAUGUACUAAUAUACCUUCUCUGGAGAGCCUCCAGAGUUGUUUUAAAUGAGCAAAUCCUGGAUAGAGUUUCAGGCUGGAUUCUCAUUCUUUGUGUGCUCUAAGAGGGCAUUGCCAUGUAUUAUCACCAGCCUAGGGAAUACGUUCUGUUCAGGAGGUGGCCUGGGCUCAGGCAGAUACAGCAUUUGGUCAGGGCUGGGUCUGCUGUCUGUGCUGACAGACUGACAACAUUGAUUCCUGACUUUGAGGAGCAGUGAAGAUGAACCUCUGUGUCCUUUUGUGAGGCCAUGGUAUCCUGUAGAUACCAAAGAGUAAAAAUACUGCUGUUUCUUUCCUCCCGAGGCUGUGUUAGCACACCCUGGCUGUACCCUAUUGUCUCAUUUUGCACUGCUCUGCAACAAAUCUCACUGCAAUUUUUAAGUGUAGCCUGAGUGACAGCACAGGUGAACCGUCACACAUCUGUCAUCAGAGUAGCAUUUAACUAAUUAGGAGAUAAAUGAUAAUGCCGUUAAGAGCAUUUUGAGACCAGUGAAAAAUGUUCCGGUGAUGGUAGGAGUCUACCAGUCACUGAGAUGGCUGGGCCCACGCUGGCUGUGGAGUGUUACUUAGCUUUAAAGCAGCAUCUCUCUGCCCUCAUCCAGACAAAUUACCUUUGUACCUUGAUCCAAACAAACGCUGAUCUCUCCCUUGCCAUUGAACUCACCUUGUCUGAAACCCAAUCUGACUACUUUAUUCUACCUCUGCACUGGGAAUUCACUCUAUCAUUAGCAUUUCAAUCUAUUUAAUUCACUGAGGGUCGCUGAGCAAUGUAACCGAAUCCAUGCUAAGCCACCACUGGCAAUUUAGCUGUCAGACAGUCUCACCUUCUAUUUUUAGUAGUGCUCCAAUUCCUUGCUUCAGGGGGUGCAUGCUGAAUUUCUGGAUUAGAUUCCCCUGACCCCUCCGUUGUAUUGCUGUCAGUUAUCUUUUAGUUGGGAGUCCUUUUUACAUUGUCUUAUUAUCCCAAAUACACCUUGUGAAGGUAUGGAUAGAGUACUCGGGCUUCAUCCCCAGGCCAGUAACUCUGGGAUUAAGCCCUUGUGUUCACAGCUGCAAGCACUUGGUAUUGCUGUCCUGAAAGUUUCUGUUAAAAACACCUUUUUAAUUGCACGGCUGAUACCUCUGAAAUCUUGAGAUCUGAUGGCUGAGGAUGGGCACUCGGUUCUGCCCUUAGGUUCUCUGGGAUAUACUGCCAGUGCCUGAGCAGGCCAGGACUGGUACUGCCAAGGCUCUUACUUUCAGAAAUAAGGGUUUAGGUUGAGGCAAGCAACUGUUCCAUCUCUUCCUUAGAGUUAUUUCGAGCAGCUGUGCUCCUCAGUUUUCUGUGUUUUUCAUUCCUUUUCUCCUAUACAGAUUCCACUGCUUCUUAGCUUUGUAUUUAUCUACUCACACCACUCCACUCUCCCCAAGCUCUGUGUCCUAACGAUAUCCUAUAGCAUAUAUUUAGUUUUGAACCAGCCUAUGUCUCUCCUUGAGUGCAACUCAGGAAGCCGUUUGUUCUUGUUAAUGAAGCUGCACACACGCACGUUCUGCCUGCGUCAGCUGCAAGUUGGUCACCAGUUGCACCUGCUGCAGCUCCAUAUUCAAGUCAUCUUGUAGUGUAUACUCAAAAAACAAGCAGAGAAUAGUAAAACACAUGCAUAGGCUGUUUGGGAUGAAAACAGGCUGAGCAUUUGUGUUCUGAAGUUCAUCAUUGAAUGUACUACAUUAAAU
This is a long non-coding RNA of Meleagris gallopavo (turkey), 5450 nucleotides long. The record is from Ensembl. NCBI's taxonomy places the organism in Eukaryota, Metazoa, Chordata, Aves, Galliformes, Phasianidae.